GAUGAACGCUGGCGGCGUGCCUAAUACAUGCAAGUAGAACGCACAGUUUAUACCGUAGCUUGCUACACCAUAGACUGUGAGUUGCGAACGGGUGAGUAACGCGUAGGUAACCUGCCUGGUAGCGGGGGAUAACUAUUGGAAACGAUAGCUAAUACCGCAUAAUAUUAAUUAUUGCAUGAUAAUUAAUUGAAAGGUGCAAUUGCACCACUACCAGAUGGACCUGCGUUGUAUUAGCUAGUAGGUGAGGUAACGGCUCACCUAGGCGACGAUACAUAGCCGACCUGAGAGGGUGAUCGGCCACACUGGGACUGAGACACGGCCCAGACUCCUACGGGAGGCAGCAGUAGGGAAUCUUCGGCAAUGGACGAAAGUCUGACCGAGCAACGCCGCGUGAGUGAAGAAGGUUUUCGGAUCGUAAAGCUCUGUUGUAAGAGAAGAACGGGUGUGAGAGUGGAAAGUUCACACUGUGACGGUAUCUUACCAGAAAGGGACGGCUAACUACGUG
RNAcentral lists this ribosomal RNA (505 nucleotides) under uncultured bacterium. RNAcentral describes it as "partial 16S ribosomal RNA". It matches the Rfam family "Bacterial small subunit ribosomal RNA", at positions 28 to 507 of the family's 1533-position model. The record is from RNAcentral.